ACGCUGACAGAAUGCUUAACACAUGCAAGUCAACUUGAAUUUGGGUUUUUAACUUAGAUUUGGGUGGCGGACGGGUGAGUAACGCGUAAAGAACUUGCCUCACAGCUAGGGACAACAUUUAGAAAUGAAUGCUAAUACCUGAUAUUAUGAUUUUAAGGCAUCUUAGAAUUAUGAAAGCUAUAUGCGCUGUGAGAGAGCUUUGCGUCCCAUUAGCUAGUUGGAGAGGUAACAGCUCACCAAGGCGAUGAUGGGUAGCCGGCCUGAGAGGGUGAACGGCCACAAGGGGACUGAGACACGGCCCUUACUCCUACGGGAGGCAGCAGUGGGGAAUAUUGGACAAUGGACCGAGAGUCUGAUCCAGCAAUUCUGUGUGCACGAUGAAGUUUUUCGGAAUGUAAAGUGCUUUCAGUUGGGAAGAAAAAAUGACGGUACCAACAGAAGAAGUGACGGCUAAAUACGUGCCAGCAGCCGCGGUAAUACGUAUGUCACGAGCGUUAUCCGGAUUUAUUGGGCGUAAAGCGCGUCUAGGUGGUUAUGUAAGUCUGAUGUGAAAAUACAGGGCUCAACUCUGUAUUGCGUUGGAAACUGUAUAACUAGAGUACUGGAGAGGUAAGCGGAACUACAAGUGUAGAGGUGAAAUUCGUAGAUAUUUGUAGGAAUGCCGAUGGGGAAGCCAGCUUACUGGACAGAUACUGACGCUAAAGCGCGAAAGCGUGG
This 717-nucleotide ribosomal RNA is filed under the name uncultured Fusobacterium sp. RNAcentral describes it as "bacterial SSU rRNA". It matches the Rfam family "Bacterial small subunit ribosomal RNA", at positions 33 to 764 of the family's 1533-position model. The record is from RNAcentral. Lineage: Bacteria; Fusobacteriati; Fusobacteriota; Fusobacteriia; Fusobacteriales; Fusobacteriaceae.